RNAcentral lists this long non-coding RNA (251 nucleotides) under Trifolium pratense (red clover). Its description in RNAcentral is "long non-coding RNA (TPRA_LNC014421)". The record is from RNAcentral. Lineage: Eukaryota; Viridiplantae; Streptophyta; Magnoliopsida; Fabales; Fabaceae.
AGAUAUUUAUCACGAAAAGAUUAGUCAGAUCACGUGACAUUCCUGUGACUUGGGUAACAGUGAUGUGUUGCUAGAUACCGCUCACUGUUUAUAAUAUUACGAUUAAUAUUAUUGCCAACGUCAUAAGAACCUACAGGGUCACACACAUAAGGACAGUUAAGAAGGGAAAAAUAAGUAAGACUUAUUGCGGGGGUGCAGUUAGUGACAAAUGGUUAUUGGGCUUGAGAAGCCCAAUUUCGUGUAAACUAAAG